AGCUUGCUGAGAUGAGUAUACUGGCGGAUGGGUGAGUAACACGUAGGUAAUCUGCCCUUAGGACAGGGAUAAGAUGGCUAACGCGAUGCUAAUACCUGAUGAAGCAACUGUUGAAUCAGAUGGUUGUUAAAGGCUGGCUUUCAGCUAGCGCCUGAGGAUGAGCCUGCGUCUCAUUAGCUAGUUGGUAGGGUAAUGGCCUACCAAGGCGACGAUGGGUAGCCGGCCUGAGAGGGUGAGCGGCCACACUGGGACUGAGAUACGGCCCAGACUCCUACGGGAGGCAGCAGUGAGGAAUAUUGCGCAAUGGCCGAAAGGUUGACGCAGCGACGCCGCGUGAGGGAUGAAGCUUUUAGGAGUGUAAACCUCUGUUAGGAGGGAAGAAUAAUGGCAAUUCGAUCAGGGUUGUCAGAUGACGGUACCUCCAGAGGAAGCCCCGGCUAACUCCGUGCCAGCAGCCGCGGUAAUACGGGGGGGGCUAGCGUUGUGCGGAAUUACUGGGCGUAAAGGGCGCGUAGGCGGGAUAGCAAGUCAGUGGUGCGAACUUGAGGCUUAA
Molecule: ribosomal RNA, 553 nt
Filed under: uncultured organism
Description: bacterial SSU rRNA
Rfam family: Bacterial small subunit ribosomal RNA
Source: RNAcentral